AGCGAACGCUGGCGGCAUGCCUAACACAUGCAAGUCGAACGAGACCUUCGGGUCUAGUGGCGCACGGGUGCGUAACGCGUGGGAACCUGCCCUUAGAUUCGGAAUAACUCCCCGAAAGGGGUGCUAAUACCGGAUAAUGUCUUCGGACCAAAGAUUUAUCGCCUUUGGAUGGGCCCGCGUUGGAUUAGCUAGUUGGUAGGGUAAAAGCCUACCAAGGCGACGAUCCAUAGCUGGUCUGAGAGGAUGAUCAGCCACACUGGGACUGAGACACGGCCCAGACUCCUACGGGAGGCAGCAGUGGGGAAUAUUGGACAAUGGGCGAAAGCCUGAUCCAGCAAUGCCGCGUGAGUGAUGAAGGCCUUAGGGUUGUAAAGCUCUUUUACCCGGGAUGAUAAUGACAGUACCGGGAGAAUAAGCUCCGGCUAACUCCGUG
RNAcentral lists this ribosomal RNA (433 nucleotides) under uncultured bacterium. RNAcentral's name for it is "partial 16S ribosomal RNA". It matches the Rfam family "Bacterial small subunit ribosomal RNA", at positions 29 to 507 of the family's 1533-position model. The record is from RNAcentral.